Molecule: long non-coding RNA, 355 nt
Organism: Sitophilus oryzae (rice weevil)
Lineage: Eukaryota; Metazoa; Arthropoda; Insecta; Coleoptera; Curculionidae
Exons: 3
Source: RefSeq, a predicted model, not a curated record
GAGGAUAAGUUUAAUAUAUCUAAUUAGUAGAGUAGCGCCAAAAUCCUUGGCGCUUUAGCAUUUUUAUCGAUUCUGCGAUAGAUUUAGAGAAAAAAAACGGUAUUCGUUGGGAAAAAAGCAAGGAACAUGGUAUAUCGUGCGGUGGUUUUGGGUAUUUGUGCGUUUGCCAGUGCCGUUUGGGCUCAGGACUGUCGGUUUUACGGGCAAACCUGUUCGGAUGAUUACGAUUGUUGCGGAGGUUGCUGUUUUAAGGGAUCCUGUACAGACACUUAUCUGGAUUGUAGAUUAAACUCAUUAAAUGACCCAUGCCAAGACCGGUACUGCCCAGAAGACCAAGUCUGUGUCACGUACCAAC